GUUGUUUAGGUGGGUCUGGGAUGAUGUUGUUUAGGUGGGUCUGGGCUAAUGAUGUUGUUUAGGUGGGUCUGGGCUAAUGUUGUUGUUUAGGUGGGUCUGGGAUGAUGUUGUUUAGGUGGGUCUGGGAUGAUGUUGUCUAGGUGGGUCUUGGUUAAUGUUGUUGUCUAGAUGGGUCUGGGCUAAUGUUGUUGUCUAGGUGGGUCUGGGUUAAUGUUGUUGUCUAGGUGGGUCUGGGCUAAUGUUGUUUAGGUGGGCCUGGGAUGAUGUUGUCUAGGUGGGUCUGGGUUGAUGAUGUUGUUUAGGUGGGUCUGGGUCUGGGCUAAUGUUGUUGUCUAGCUGGGUCUGGGCUAAUGUUGUUGUUUAGGUGGGUCUGGGCUAAUGUUGUUGUUGUUUAGGUGGGUCUGGGCUAAUGUUGUUGUUGUUGUUUAGGUGGGUCUGGGUUAAUGUUGUUGUUUAGGUGGGUCUGGGAUGAUGUUGUUUAGGUGGGUCUGGGUUAAUGUUGUUGUUGUUGUUGUUGUUUAGGUGGGUCUGGGCUAAUGUUGUUGUCUAGGUUUGGGUCUGGGUUAAUGUUGUUGUUGUUUAGGUGGGUCUGGGAUGAUGUUGUUUAGGUGGGUCUGGGCUAUUGGGUUGUUGUUGUUUAGGUGGGUCUGGGCUAAUGUUGUUGUCUAGGUGGGUCUGGGUUAAUGUUGUUGUUGUUUAGGUGGGUCUGGGAUGAUGUUGUUUAGGUGGGUCUGGGCUAAUGUUGUUGUUGUCUAGGUGGGUCUGGGUUAAUGUUGUUGUUGUUUAGGUGGGUCUGGG
Long non-coding RNA from Oncorhynchus tshawytscha (Chinook salmon), 798 nucleotides. The record is from Ensembl. NCBI's taxonomy places the organism in Eukaryota, Metazoa, Chordata, Actinopteri, Salmoniformes, Salmonidae.